This 199-nucleotide ribosomal RNA is filed under the name uncultured bacterium. RNAcentral describes it as "partial 16S ribosomal RNA". It matches the Rfam family "Bacterial small subunit ribosomal RNA", at positions 1302 to 1500 of the family's 1533-position model. The record is from RNAcentral.
AGGCUGCAACUCGCCUGCAUGAAGGCGGAAUUGCUAGUAAUCGCGAAUCAGAAUGUCGCGGUGAAUACGUUCCCGGGCCUUGUACACACCGCCCGUCACACCAUGAGAGUCGAUAACACCCGAAGCCUGUGAGCUAACCUUAGGGAGGCAGCAGUCGAAGGUGGGGUUGAUGAUUAGGGUGAAGUCGUAACAAGGUACC